AUUGAACGCUGGCGGCAGGCCUAACACAUGCAAGUCGAACGCGUGGCGGACGGGUGAGUAAUGUCUGGGAAACUGCCCGAUGGAGGGGGAUAACCACUGGAAACGGUCGCUAAUACCGCAUACCCUCGGAUGUGCCCAGCUGGGAUUAGCUAGUAGGUGGGGUAACGGCUCACCUAGGCGACGCACCCUAGCUGGUCUGAGAGGAUGACCAGCCACACUGGAACUGAGACACGGUCCAGACUCCUACGGGAGGCAGCAGGGGGGAAUAUUGCACAAUGGGCGCAAGCCUGAUGCAGCCAUGCCGCGUGUAUGAAGAAGGCCUUCGGGUUGUAAAGUACUUUCAGCGAGGAGGCGUUACUCGCAGAAGAAGCACCGGCUAACUCCGUGCCAGCAGCCGCGGUAAUUC
Molecule: ribosomal RNA, 406 nt
Filed under: uncultured bacterium
Lineage: Bacteria
Description: partial 16S ribosomal RNA
Rfam family: Bacterial small subunit ribosomal RNA
Source: RNAcentral